Ictalurus punctatus (channel catfish) is the source of this 4212-nucleotide long non-coding RNA. Lineage: Eukaryota; Metazoa; Chordata; Actinopteri; Siluriformes; Ictaluridae. The record is from Ensembl.
CUCGCAUUCUGAGAUUUUCACGCACGACAACGUACAAACUCUAGAGUUUACACAAAAAGUUUACACACACACACACACACACAAAAAAAAAACAACAACAAACAAAAAACCACACUGUUGUGACAGUGACAGUUCUAUGGGGAGAAACGCCUUGUUGAUGAGAAAGCUCAGAGGAAAAUGGGCAGAUUGGAUAAAGCUGACAGCUAAAGCUAAAGCUACAUGAUAUAUAUAUAUAUAUAUAUAUAUAAAACUCAAACAAUCACUCUUUACAACCGUGAUGCUCAGAAAAGCAUCGCAGCACAUCAAACCUUAAGGGAUCAACAAUCUGAGGCUACAGUGGACACAGACUCAUUAAAACUGGUAAUAAAAAGUAGAAAACUGACAGAGUGUAUGUUAAGACAGUGGUUUUCAAAGUGGGGGCUGCAGCCCCCUUGGGGGCCGCCAGGGGGCCUCAACAAUUUGGUGUGAAAACUAAAUUCUCACUUUCAGACAACCACACACACAAUCAAUUCCUAAUGUAAUGUAAAGAUGUAAGAUGUCAUUAUUAAUAAAAAAAAAAAAAGGGGGGAUAUAUUCAGAAGUCUGUAUUUUGAAUGUGUUUUAAAGACAUCUUGCAAAAGGGGGCCUCGGUCAAAUGUUAAUGCCAUUUGAGGGGCGUUGCCCUGGAAAAAGUUUGGGAACCCCUGUGUUAAGACAUUAAUACUGAUUAAUACAUUACAACAUUCAUUUUUGAUUGUUAUAGAAACGUGAGGAUUCUUGUUCACAUCUUUUACUCUUUUAUCACUCACUUUUCCCCCCUUUGCCUGUUGAUCAGAAUAGCACCCCUAAAGACUAAAAACGUGUUCCACCGUCGCUCUGUUGUUUCUGCGCCGCUUUGUUUAAGGCAGCUUCGAAGUUUUUCCCGCCUUGUUCAAAACUCUCUUGGUCUUAAGUAAGACUUGAAGUAAACGAUGUGCCGGCCUUUUAAGUCGUUACACGCGUUAGACACACGCGAGUCACGUUCAAAUAAAUGAACUAGAGCGUGUCGAUGGGGAAACAAACUCUGAGCUUGCUAAUAAAGAGCGGCCUAAUUGCUGACUCGACGGCUUUAACGUUUAGACUGGGUGUGAUGAGUUCUCAGUGUACAAAGACUGAGAGAGGGGGAUUUCAUUUUACUUCUUGCCAAUAUUAAGAUUGCCGAUGUGUGUAUUAACGCUUAAUUUCGAUUCUCGCAUGUCAUGUUUCUAUAUAGGCACUCGGUGUUAUAACUAGUAGGUUUAUUAAUAACAGUUCUCAUUCCAGUAAUGAGAGAGAGAGAAGGGGGGGAAGGGGGAGAUAUUACAUUCUCCACAUAUCAGAUGAUACCACUCAUAAUGUUUUCUUCAUAACUAACAUGAGUGUGUGUGGAAUUUACUCCAACCACUUCAGGCACGUACAGCAAUCCUUUUGUGUGUGUGUGUGUGUGUGAGCGUGUGUUUAGUGCUGUUGUUUUCGCUUAGUCGAUGACUUUCACAACACUGUGCCCUGAGUGUUUUCUUUCUUACUUGUUAAGCCAGUUUUGAUGCACCUCUAUGGCAAAUGAACUGGAAUCUUAUAGAAAUGCGUGUGUGGCCUUUGCUCUUCUAACUGGAAAGAUAAAGGCAGCGUGCAGAGCAGCCAGUGCAGAGGCUGUAAUUCAGUUAACAGGCCUGAUUAACCCGAGUGUUUAUUACUGAUGAGAAAAGCAGCGCUGGAGUGUUGUUACAGACAGUGAGACAUGCAGCACUACACUGGUAGACACUGUAAUCAUGCUGGCAUACAAAGCAAAUAAAAAAAUAAUACGACUACAAGCAAGGUACUUCAUCAAAACUGUGUGUGUGUGUGUGUGUGUGUGUGUGUGUGUUUGUGUAUGUAGGAAAACCCGUCUGCCAGAUCAAGGCUUAAUGGUGUUAGAUUACAAACAUGCUUUCUGUAUGAGUGGAGAGUGCCACUCUCCUAACAGAGGGAGGGAGGGAGGGAGAGAGAGAGAGAGAGAGAGGAAAACACACACACACACACACACUCUAAACACACAUUCAUCACUAUCACUACUUUGUCUUGGUUUGUUUUUAUUUAGACUAAUAUCUGCAUCUCCACCAAUAAUCUCCUUUUAUAUAACCAACAUGGAACUAUGACAAUACAUAGAUGAAGCAAAUUACUACAAUUACCACAAACAUAGCAAUAAUAAUAAUAAUAAUAAUAAUAAUUAAAGCUGCAAGCAGUUUAAAGGGCCCAAGCACCAAAGGCGCAGCAAGCGCAAUGCGGAGCCUGAAGAACACAAAGGAGAAACAGAAUGUACACGAAUGAAUAAAAGAUAGGUUCACAAGCACAGCUGAGAAUCAGAUUGAACAGGAAAUGAACAGAACAGAAGCAUUUAUUUGCAUGCCACGAGGUUGAGAGGUUAGUGCAAGGCUGAGCCUCAAAAGAAAGGAACCCAAAGACAAAACAUUACGCAAACUUUCAAGAACUUGCACCACAUGGGACUCGAACCAAGGACCUUUAGAAUUAAUGCUUGCUGUUUAUCACAAAAACCCGUCAUUUUGGACAAUGUUUUCAAGUUAUGAUUCUAGAACACUAGGAGGCGCUGUUUUUAAUUUUUUUCAUGUACCUAGGGGACAUGCUAUGAACGAACCCUUUGAAAUUUUGUGCCGGCAUGUCAGUUAUUUUAAAAGAUAUUACAAUAUAUGACAAUUUUCAAAAUGGCGAACAGGUGGUUUGUCCGAUCCUUGCAAGAUUGUUAUCCCCAGAUUCGCCACGACCCAAUGGAUCUGUAGACACCAAGGUCAUAAUUUUCUGUCAAAGUAUUCAAAAGUUAAAACGCAAAAAGAAUCAUUUUUCAAACCUCAUGACCUGUAGGUGGUGCUGUUCUCAAAUUUGGCACGGACCCUCGGAUCGUGUGUAGUACCAAGAAUCAUUAGGAGCGAUCAAAGUCUGGCCGAGAUUUAGAUUUAACAUCGUUAAAUCGUUAAAACAUUGUUAAAUCAUAACUUUUGAAUAGAUAUGAGUAUAAAAAUUCUGUUCAGUUAUUUUUGUACCGCUCUGUCCACUGAUCAUCUCAGCCAAAUUUGGUAAGAACUGGACAAAAUUUGAAUGAGAAGUAGCGAAUUAAACUGAACACUGUACAUUUCAAAAUGGUGACUACUGUAAUGGGUGGAGUCUUAAUGUAAUUUUAAUCAGCAUGAGGAGACUAGUCUGAUGAACUAAAUUUCUUUUCUCUAUGACAAAGUGUUCAACAAUUAUAACCAUUUGAAUAGUGAAUUUUUAAACUAGUGGUGGCGCUAUAGAGUUGGUCCUAGAGAGGCCACGAUUGGUCGACACACUACUCAUGGUCAUAUCUAUGAGUGUGCCAAAUUUCAUCAGGUUCAGAGGGCUGCCAUAGACUCCCCGUGGGGAAGAAUAAUAAUAAUAAGAAAACUAACUAACGGUGCUCGUACCCUAAUAAGGAGGAGAAGGAGUAGCAAAAAAGCUGCGUUUGACAAAAUCCAAGAUCUAUCUAAUUAGGUGAAAAAUGAUGUCAGAGGAUAUGUUGAACUUGUCUCGGGGAACCCAGAGAUGCCUGGAUUUUAAAUUUUGGAUACACGGUUCAAAAGUUAUGACCAUAAACGUACUUCCAAAUUAGGCCCAAAUUUUACCCAAUGGUGGCGCUAGGGCAUUGGCAGGACUUGGCUCAAAUUUGUUCAGAAUGUUCCUUAGAUCCUCCCCAAUCAGUGUGCCAUUUACCAGACAGUUCUAUGGGCUGCCAUAGACAUCUCAAGAAGAAGAAGAAGACAAAGACGACUAGACCCCUUUAUCAUCAUCAUAAUAAUAAUAAUAAUAAUAAUAAUAAUAAUAAUAACAAUCAAUCCACCUACUAGCAUGUUUUUGUGAGAUGAGAGGAAACUGGAGAACCCAGAGGAAACCCACUGAACAUGUGAAACUCGGCACAGAGAUUAGCUCAGGACUGAACUGGGACUCUGGAGCUGUGAGGCAGCGAUGCGACCAGCUUUUGUUGACACUUCAUUUUUGUUGUUCUUUUUAUCUUUUUCAAUUUGUUGUUCUUUUUUAUCUUUUUCAUUUUGUUGUUCUUUUUAUCUUUUUCAUCUUCUUGUUCUUUUAUCUUUUUCAUUUUAGUAUUCCAUGUUCAGUCACCUGAGCUUUGGCAAUAGCAAAUGCACCUGUGUCAUAUGCUAAGAAGACAUGUUUUAAAUUGAGACUGAGAGAAAGAACGUGUGUGUG